CUUCUCCUCCUCCUCUUCUUCUUCUCUUCUUAUUUUCUUCUUCUUUGGAUCUAAACGACCUAAUUAUAUCAUUUUGGAGCUAAACUAGCUAAUUAUGUAAUUUUGGAGGAUAAUCAUCUAAGUAUGUCUUUGUUGUGGAAAAUAAGCUAAGGAGAAGAUGAAAGAGGAGAAGAAAGAAGAGAAGAAGAAGGAGAAGAAAAAGGAGAAGAAGAAGAAGAAGAAGAAGGAGGAGGAGGAGGAGAAGAAGAAGAAAAAAAAGAAGAGAAGAAGAAGGAGAAGAAGGAUAAGUAGGAGAAGGAGGAGAAGAAGG
RNAcentral lists this long non-coding RNA (310 nucleotides) under Hordeum vulgare. Its description in RNAcentral is "long non-coding RNA (HVUL_LNC006848)". The record is from RNAcentral. Lineage: Eukaryota; Viridiplantae; Streptophyta; Magnoliopsida; Poales; Poaceae.